Molecule: ribosomal RNA, 89 nt
Filed under: Klebsiella aerogenes
Lineage: Bacteria; Pseudomonadati; Pseudomonadota; Gammaproteobacteria; Enterobacterales; Enterobacteriaceae
Also listed under: 5 other names
Source: RNAcentral
CCUGGCGGCGAUAGCGCGGUGGUCCCACCUGACCCCAUGCCGAACUCAGAAGUGAAACGCCGUAGCGCCGAUGGUAGUGUGGGGUCUCC